GAUGAACGCUGGCGGCGUGCCUAAUACAUGCAAGUCGAGCGAACAGAUGAGGAGCUUGCUCCUCUGACGUUAGCGGCGGACGGGUGAGUAACACGUGGAUAACCUACCUAUAAGACUGGGAUAACUUCGGGAAACCGGAGCUAAUACCGGAUAAUAUAUUGAACCGCAUGGUUCAAUAGUGAAAGACGGUUUUGCUGUCACUUAUAGAUGGAUCCGCGCCGCAUUAGCUAGUUGGUAAGGUAACGGCUUACCAAGGCAACGAUGCGUAGCCGACCUGAGAGGGUGAUCGGCCACACUGGAACUGAGACACGGACCAGACUCCUACGGGAGGCAGCAGUAGGGAAUCUUCCGCAAUGGGCGAAAGCCUGACGGAGCAACGCCGCGUGAGUGAUGAAGGUCUUCGGAUCGUAAAACUCUGUUAUUAGGGAAGAACAAAUGUUUAAGUAACUAUGCACGUCUUGACGGUACCUAAUCAGAAAGCCACGGCUAACUACGUG
Molecule: ribosomal RNA, 497 nt
Filed under: uncultured bacterium
Lineage: Bacteria
Description: partial 16S ribosomal RNA
Rfam family: Bacterial small subunit ribosomal RNA
Source: RNAcentral